RNAcentral lists this ribosomal RNA (548 nucleotides) under uncultured bacterium. RNAcentral's name for it is "partial 16S ribosomal RNA". It matches the Rfam family "Bacterial small subunit ribosomal RNA", at positions 355 to 896 of the family's 1533-position model. The record is from RNAcentral.
UGGGGAAUUUUGGACAAUGGGCGCAAGCCUGAUCCAGCCAUGCCGCGUGCGGGAAGAAGGCCUUCGGGUUGUAAACCGCUUUUGUCAGGGAAGAAAUCUUCUGAGUUAAUACCUCGGGAGGAUGACGGUACCUGAAGAAUAAGCACCGGCUAACUACGUGCCAGCAGCCGCGGUAAUACGUAGGGUGCAAGCGUUAAUCGGAAUUACCGGGCGUAAAGCGUGCGCAGGCGGUUUUGUAAGACAGAGGUGAAAUCCCCGGGCUCAACCUGGGAACUGCCUUUGUGACUGCAAGGCUUGAGUGCGGCAGAGGGGGAUGGAAUUCCGCGUGUAGCAGUGAAAUGCGUAGAUAUGCGGAGGAACACCGAUGGCGAAGGCAAUCCCCUGGGCCUGCACUGACGCUCAUGCACGAAAGCGUGGGGAGCAAACAGGAUUAGAUACCCUGGUAGUCCACGCCCUAAACGAUGUCAACUGGUUGUUGGGAAGGUUCCUUCUCAGUAACGUAGCUAACGCGUGAAGUUGACCGCCUGGGGAGUACGGCCGCAAGGUUG